CAUAUAUAUAUAAAUAUCAGAGGCCCCGAAGGGGUUGCCGGCGCGGCCCCUCAAGCUCAGGCCGCAGUCUCCGCCCCGCGGCCCCACACUCACGUCACCCAGGUGGAGGGCGUUGACCUGGGCCUGGACCAAGGGCGGCUGCGGGGACCCAGGCUGUGCGUGCGCUUCCCUCUCCGGCGCCUGGCGGGGAGGUGCGGCGCGAACCCGGCGGGCGCGGCCGUCAGCAGCGGGAAGCGGCCUCCCCAGGGCGGCCACGGCCCCACUCGCGGCCCCACACGCGGCCCCACACGGGCCGUCGCUCCCCACCGCGCGCCAGGGCGGCCCGGCCCCCUGCGUCUCCCGGCGGGCCUUGCGGCGGCGGCCUCCGCGCGAGGGGCCCCGAGGCCGCCUGGGCCCCGGAAGGCCGCGCGGACGCGCCCGGAAGCCGGAAGCCGGAAGCCCGCGCCGGACCCGGAGCCGCGUGCGCGGUGGGCGGCGACGGCAGAAGCUUCGGGAAGGCGCCCGCGGAGGCGCAGAGGCUCUCCGGGGAGGCCCCACUACCCCGACGGGUCGCCGAAGCCGGCGCGGGACACGCAGUCGUCCCCUGAGGGGACUGCAGGGGAGAGGCCUGAAGACCUGUGGAAAAAGCAAGCAGGUUUUUCAUAGACUCAUUUAGAGUUAAUACGAAGUCAACAAGACAAUAACAGAAAUCUUUGAAACUACUACCACAAGGACGACCACAUUGGACUAUGAACCAUCAGGACCUUCCAAACCGGCAUUGGUGUUGCACAGCCAGUACCAGCCAAUCCAGCGGAGAGGAAGAAGGUUAUCUGGAAGAAAUUGGAUUCUUUGAAGUUCA
Molecule: long non-coding RNA, 838 nt
Filed under: Canis lupus familiaris (dog)
Lineage: Eukaryota; Metazoa; Chordata; Mammalia; Carnivora; Canidae
Description: lncRNA (ENSCAFG00845026878.1)
Source: RNAcentral